GGGACGCUCUCGCGCGAUCCCGGGGGCCAGGGCGGGGCCGGCGCUGUCCCGCGCUUCCUGCCACCCCUCCGCGCCUCUCCGCUCCGGGCCAUGGCGGCCGUGGCUUGGGGACGGUGCCUCCCUCGGGUGUGGCUUCGCAGGAGGGCCGGGCCUGUCUGGGGCCGCCACUACCGCGCCGCGCUCUGCGCCGAGCUGAAGCAGCCCCUGGCCAUCGAGGAGGUUGCCUCCUGCCCCGUCCGGCCUCACGAGGUCAGAGUGGACGUCCAUUUCUGUGGAGUUAAUUUUGCUGAUAUUUUGGUCUGCCGUGGUCAGUAUCAGGAAAAGCCUCAACUUCCCUUCACACCUGGAAUGGAGUUUUCGGGGACAGUAUUGGAGACAGGCACAGAUGUCAGCACAGUGAAAGAGGGAGAUCGAGUUAUUGGCGUGAGUGGCUUUAAUGGUAUGGCUGAAGAAUGCAUCAUUGAUCACAAGACACUGUGGCAGAUUCCAGAAGGGGUCCCCCUCCGAGAAGCUGCUACCUUGCCUGUAUCUUAUGUCACUGCUAUUUUGGCCUUGGAGCAUCGGGCCUGUACUCGGCCUGGAGAAACUGUUUUAGUGACAGCAGCAGCUGGAGCCACAGGCCUUGCAGUGAUAGAUGUGGCAACAAAUGUUCUUCAGGCUAAGGUAAUAGCUGCAGCCGGAAGUGACGAGAAGUGCAGGCUGGCGAUGCGGAAGGGUGCACAGUCCAUCGUGAACUAUAGUCAGGGCAGCCUGAAGGAGGCAGUGAGGAAGCUGGUGGGCAGUGAUGGGGUGAACGUGGUCAUCGACGCUGUGGGAGGAGAUGUCUUCCUGGAGGCUCUCCGCAGCCUGGCCUGGGAGGGCAGGAUUGUGGUGGUGGGUUUUGCUGGAGGAACCAUUGCUUCUGUGCCAGCCAACCUUCUGCUCCUGAAGAAUGUCUCUGCUAUGGGGCUGUACUGGGGCCGAUACAAAGAGCAGAACUUUCCUGUCUUCUCCAGAAUCCUGUCCUCUGCUCUUCAGUACUGCCAGCAAGGGCGCAUCCAGCCACACAUCGGAGCGGUUUUUAAGCUGGAGGAGUCAAGAGGGUAGCAUUUGGUGGUAAAAAGAGAACCUGACUGGUCAUGGGAAAACUGGUCGGAUUCUAUUUCCACCUGUGCCUUUAGUGGCUCCUUCGUGGAAGUCUCCUCUGCCCUCCGACCAUCAGUCUCCACGCCUCUGCAGCAGGUUAUGUACUUCAGGGGCGGCAGUGUGCGGGGGUGGGCAGGUGACCCGAGCUGCCUGGCCUCUGGGACCCCAUCUCUGCUGGGGUCUGAGUAGCUGCACAUUUUUACCUUUUUGUUCAUCUGUUUCUUGUGUUAAAAGGUUUUGUGGCUUAAAAAACUUGAAAACCACCAGUUUCCAGAAUUGCUGAGUCCCCUUCCGUCUUGUGACUUUUAUCAUGUGCCUGUGAACCGAGGUUUGCUUUACCUAAAGCUCAUGUAUACCUGUCGAUAGAAGAUGAGGACAGUUAGGACGGGUCAAUGAUGCCUUCCUUCAUGUGAUACAGCGCAAAUCCAUGGGCAAGGUGCUUAUCUCCCUGAAAUAAACCCUCACCUCAGCAGCAAAUUCAGCAUGUCCAAAUCUAAGCUCCUCAUCUUUCCAAAAAACCUCCUUUACCUCCAGUGUUUCUAAAGGUGUGACCGCUUUCCUGAUUAAUCCAGGUUCAGAAUCUUUUAGAGGCAUCUUCGAUUCUGUUUUCUUAUUCCUAGUAAAUAGUGUGACACAUACUGUAUAGUCCUAGUUUGUCUGUAUUGGAGAGGGAAAGGAGGCUGUUAGUAAUUACACCAGGCAAGCAAGGUGUCCCAGGCAAAGCAGGAUGUAUGGCCGUUCUGUUCACAAUGCCUCAGUGGCCGGGUUCUGUCAUCCCCACCUCUCAAGAUAUCUCUCACCUCCGUAUCCUCUUUUCCAUUCCAGCCAAUUAUGUUUCAUCUGCUAAUUCCAGUAACUUUCUGACUGGCUUUCCAACCUUUAAACGUCCCCCACCCCUCUGUCCUUGUUAUACAUUGUUGCCAUGGUGACCUUCCUAAAGUACAGCUGUGACUGUGUCUCUUCUCAGAAAACCUGCAAUGGCUCCCCUUGGUCUACAUGGUGGAGUCCAGACUCCUCAAGCUAGCAUUUCUUUGUGUCCAUGGCCUUGCCAUGCUCUGCUCUGCAGCCUCAAGUUACACAACGCCUCUGGUCCCUCCAUGUGUACUUAGAUUUCCUGCCAACCCCCCCUUUCCUCUGCUCAAGCAGUUUCCUCUGCUCCCUUGUCCCUGUCAAACACAAACCUUUCUGACUUCCAAGACCGACCUCUGCCAUGAGCCUGCCCCCUCAGGAGGCUGGUCAUUUCUUCCCUUCCACUUUCCUGUAGCUUUUUCCCUGGGAUUUGUCACAUUCUGCCUGGCACCAGAGGGAGCAGCAUGUCUAGUAGAAUGAACACAGGAUUCUGAAUCUAAGAUGUGCGUUCGCAUCCUGGUCUUACCACUUCGGAGGUGGUUACUUAAGGUCUGUGAGCCUCCAUUUUCUCAUAUUACAAUAUCUACCUCACAACGUUGUCGUGGGCAACACAUGCAGCAAUUGGGCAAAUUAUCCGGUGCGUGGUGAGCUAUUAGCAAAUGCUCGUUACUUUUACUUCUUUCUCUCCUCCUUUCCCAAGGUAGCAUAAGUUUUUUGAAAGCGGGUACCAUGUCUGAUUCACCUUUGUACCUCCCACAAUUCCUAUCACAAUGAGUAGUAAAUACGCCAUACAUGGAAUUGA
This is an RNA transcript of Leopardus geoffroyi (Geoffroy's cat), 2776 nucleotides long. It is a transcript of the gene named quinone oxidoreductase-like protein 2, with no coding region annotated. The transcript has 11 exons. Lineage: Eukaryota; Metazoa; Chordata; Mammalia; Carnivora; Felidae. The record is from RefSeq and is a predicted model, not a curated record.